UACGGAGGGUGCAAGCGUUAUCCGGGUUCACUGGGUUUAAAGGGUGUGUAGGCGGGUAAUUAAGUCAGUGGUGAAAUCUCCAGGCUCAACCUGGAAACUGCCAUUGAUACUAUUUAUCUUGAAUCUUGUUGAGGUAGGCGGAAUAUGUCAUGUAGCGGUGAAAUGCUUAGAUAUGACAUAGAACACCGAUUGCGAAGGCAGCUUACUAAGCAAGGAUUGACGCUGAGGCACGAAAGCGUGGGGAUCAAACAGG
RNAcentral lists this ribosomal RNA (253 nucleotides) under uncultured bacterium. RNAcentral describes it as "partial 16S ribosomal RNA". It matches the Rfam family "Bacterial small subunit ribosomal RNA", at positions 524 to 776 of the family's 1533-position model. The record is from RNAcentral.